RNAcentral lists this long non-coding RNA (854 nucleotides) under Populus tremula. Its description in RNAcentral is "long non-coding RNA (PTRE_LNC001217)". Lineage: Eukaryota; Viridiplantae; Streptophyta; Magnoliopsida; Malpighiales; Salicaceae. The record is from RNAcentral.
GUGGGAUGUCUUUGUAUCCUUGUUGAUGACAUUUCACAUCAGACAGGGGAAAACAGGGGAUCGAUCAUCUGUGUUGUCAGUUUGAUGCUUUUCCUGUCCUAAAGACUAAAAGAAACCUAGUCUUCUAUGCAUGUGUUCGUGUUUCGAUAUGUGUAUAUCUCUAGGUUCAAAAUUCCUGUCUAGUCAACAACAACGCAAGUUGGUAUAGAACCCUUUUCGUUUUUUAAAGCUUCUCCUUCCAUCGAAUGAACGCCUUCGACUGUCUGGGAAAAAAAACGUUGAACGAUUUUGGUAGGGAGAGAUCCGUUCACUUGUUUCAAAAUCAAUCCAUUUAUUAUAGCUUUCACAUCCAAUGCAGCCUUUUGAUUUGGUGAUCUUGAAGAACAAACGGUAACAAAAUCUGUUCUAUCUGGACCAUAUUCUGUUUUUUCCUUAAAGAUAACAAAACUCAGUUACCGCCUUGUCUCAGAACAUCAGCUCAUCAUCUUUCCUUCUCUUUGUCAAUGGCAACAUGUGGCCCCUAAUAACACAUGUCAAUGUCCAAUUUGGUCCCUGAAACCUUGUCUGUGAAAACAUGAGGUCCCCCUGUUUUUUAUAUUCCAAUAAACACCACCUGGCCCCUCCUUCCGUUAGUGGUCGGUGGUUGAGUUAGGCCUGUCUUUUGCCUCCAGUCCACAAACCAUAACAGCAAACCAAGUACUUGGAAAUGGAGUCGUGAACGAAAAACAAUCUGGACCCUUUUCUCUUAUCCUAAUCAAUUACACUUCCCUCCUCCUGUCCCCUGUGUUUCCUUAUCUCGAGCUUUGAAACUAAUAAUUCCAGGUACAUUGUUUGAAAGUUGUAUGCAUUAGGAG